Small nucleolar RNA from Lactuca sativa (garden lettuce), 107 nucleotides. Lineage: Eukaryota; Viridiplantae; Streptophyta; Magnoliopsida; Asterales; Asteraceae. The record is from RefSeq and is a predicted model, not a curated record.
AGGUCGUUCUAUGGACAGUUUCUCAGCAAACCUUUGUACCUCUCCCAUGCUUCAUAAAGUAACUCGCCUCUUUGUUGUCCGAAAUUUGAAAUUGCUUUUAGUAAUUU